RNAcentral lists this ribosomal RNA (214 nucleotides) under uncultured bacterium. RNAcentral's name for it is "partial 16S ribosomal RNA". It matches the Rfam family "Bacterial small subunit ribosomal RNA", at positions 118 to 332 of the family's 1533-position model. The record is from RNAcentral.
UGAGCAACCUGCCCUUGACCCUGGAAUAACAGCUGGAAACAGCUGCUAAUACCGGAUAUGACCUCCGAUGGCAUCAUCUGGAGGUGGAAAGCUCCGACGGUCAAGGAUGGGCUCGCGGCCUAUCAGCUUGUUGGUGAGGUAACGGCUCACCAAGGCUUCGACGGGUAGCUGGUCUGAGAGGAUGGCCAGCCAUAUUGGGACUGAGACACCGGCA